This 336-nucleotide ribosomal RNA is filed under the name uncultured bacterium. Its description in RNAcentral is "partial 16S ribosomal RNA". It matches the Rfam family "Bacterial small subunit ribosomal RNA", at positions 338 to 691 of the family's 1533-position model. The record is from RNAcentral.
CCUACGGGUGGCAGCAGUAGGGAAUAUUGCUCAAUGGGGGAAACCCUGAAGCAGCAACGCCGCGUGGAGGAUGAAGGUUUUCGGAGUGGAAACUCCUUUUGGUAGAGAAGAAAAUGACGGUAGCUAACGAAUAAGGACCGGCGAACUCCGUGCCAGCAGCCGCGGUAAUACGGAGGGUGCAUGCGUUACUCGGAAUGACUGGGCGUAACGAGCGCGGAGGCGGGUUCGGACGUCCGAUGUGAAUUCCUAGGGCUUAACCCUAGAACUGCCUUUUAAACUGGUAUUCUUGAGUAUGGUGGAGGUCGGUGGUAUUCUUGGUGUAGCGGUUAAAUCCUU